UACAGAGGUGGCAAGCGUUGUUCGGAAUUACUGGGCGUAAAGGGCGCGUAGGCGGUCUUGCAAGUCCUGUGUGAAAUCCCUCGGCUCAACUGAGGAACUGCACAGGAAACUGCUUGGCUUGAGUUCGGGAGAGGGAAGCGGAAUUCCUGGUGUAGCGGUGAAAUGCGCAGAUAUCAGGAAGAACACCCGUGGCGAAGGCGGUUCUCUGGGACGGUACUGACGCUGAGACGCGAAAGCGUGGGGAGCGAACAGG
This 253-nucleotide ribosomal RNA is filed under the name uncultured bacterium. RNAcentral's name for it is "partial 16S ribosomal RNA". It matches the Rfam family "Bacterial small subunit ribosomal RNA", at positions 524 to 776 of the family's 1533-position model. The record is from RNAcentral.